This is a non-coding RNA of Candidatus Thiomargarita nelsonii, 227 nucleotides long. Lineage: Bacteria; Pseudomonadati; Pseudomonadota; Gammaproteobacteria; Thiotrichales; Thiotrichaceae. The record is from Rfam.
GUCAACAACCCCUCGGCUAAAGACCGAGGGGCUUGUAAGGGCAACCUUAUAAGCCCAGUUGACCAGGUUAGGUGGGAACGAGCUACGUUAGGGACGAAUAUAUAGGCACUCCGUCGAUGCUUCACCAGUUGCGGACUCUGCGGUAAGUCAUUAAACAAGCAUAAGGGUUUAAAGCUAGUGUGGCUUACAUACAAACCGUCUUAUAACAUUGCCGAGGUGAAUUUUAC